This 292-nucleotide ribosomal RNA is filed under the name uncultured Bacteroidota bacterium. RNAcentral's name for it is "uncultured Bacteroidetes bacterium partial 16S ribosomal RNA". Lineage: Bacteria; Pseudomonadati; Bacteroidota. The record is from RNAcentral.
GGACUACAGGGGUAUCUAAUCCUGUUUGCUCCCCGCGCUUUCGUGCCUCAGCGUCAGUUACAGUUUAGCGAGCUGCCUACGCAAUCGGUGUUCUGUGUCAUAUCUAAGCAUUUCACCGCUACAUGACACAUUCCGCCCACUUCAAAUGUACUCAAGACCAUCAGUAUCAAUGGCAAUUCUACAGUUAGGCUGCAGGAUUUCACCACUGACUUAAUAGUCCGCCUACGCACCCUUUAAACCCAAUAAAUCCGGAUAACGCUUGGGACCUUCGUAUUACCGCGGCUGCUGGCAC